AAGUCGUAACAAGGUUUCCGUAGGUGAACCUGCGGAAGGAUCAUUAAAGAAUUCGGCUUCGCGGCCAAGUUCUCACCCUUUGUAUACCGAAACUAUGUUGCUUUGGCAGGCCCCUUGCAUUUCGUCCGGGCCUGCCAGAUGUUAAUCAACCUAGAAUAUCUGCUGUCUGAGUACUAUACAAUAGUUAAAA
Molecule: unclassified non-coding RNA, 190 nt
Filed under: plant metagenome
Description: partial contains small subunit ribosomal RNA and internal transcribed spacer 1
Rfam family: Eukaryotic small subunit ribosomal RNA (bases 1-46)
Source: RNAcentral